This is a long non-coding RNA of Sander lucioperca (pikeperch), 644 nucleotides long. RefSeq lists it as uncharacterized. Lineage: Eukaryota; Metazoa; Chordata; Actinopteri; Perciformes; Percidae. The transcript has 3 exons. The record is from RefSeq and is a predicted model, not a curated record.
AUGCCUGGGAUGCAGUCAAGGAUGACAUGCUUAAGGUGUCGUUUGAAUGUUCAGCACCAAUCACUACGCAGUGUGUUGUCUGCCUAGAAGAUGCUGAUUAUAGGUGCAUUGAGUGCAGCACAACUGCAGUCUUUUGUGAGGCUUGUUUGAAGAGGACUCACAGAAAUUCACUGCACCUACCUGAUAAGUGGAAUAAUGCCUACUAUGAGCCAUCUUCCCUGGGGUUAUUCCUAUACUUACCUGAAGGCCAUAGCACCCAUGCUGUGUACAUGAAGGACAUGAAGGUCAUUGUCAGCACAGGACGGCUCUGCACCGUCACUGUCAAUAUGUGUGCGUGUGAACCAGAAGCCUGCACUCUGCUAAGGUACGGGCUCUGGCCAGCAACAGCCGACAAGCCCCAGACAGCCUUUUUCAUCCCUCUGCUAGAGCUUUUUGUUUGUCUGUCACUGGAGUGUCAGGUUUCUGUUGAGGGAUUUUGCAACACUCUACGCUGGAAAAACAACCUUACACUUGCAGAGGUAAGUCAGUUUGCAGAGGUCAGUUAGAAGUCAUGUCUGUGAAGUGAAUAUUUUAGUUACUUUCAUGGAAGACUGACCAGUCCGCAUACAUGUGACAAUUGGACCUUCUACUUUGAUUGUACUACA